This 253-nucleotide ribosomal RNA is filed under the name uncultured bacterium. RNAcentral describes it as "partial 16S ribosomal RNA". It matches the Rfam family "Bacterial small subunit ribosomal RNA", at positions 524 to 776 of the family's 1533-position model. The record is from RNAcentral.
GACGUAGGGGGCAAGCGUUAUCCGGAUUUACUGGGUGUAAAGGGAGUGAAGACGGUUCUGCCAGUCUGGAGUGAAAGCCCGGGGCUCAACCCCGGGACUGCUUUGGAAACUGUGGAACUAGAGUGCAGGAGAGGUAAGUGGAAUUCCUAGUGUAGCGGUGAAAUGCGUAGAUAUUAGGAGGAACACCAGUGGCGAAGGCGGCUUACUGGACUGUAACUGACGUUGAGGCUCGAAAGCGUGGGGAGCAAACAGG